AUUGAACGCUGGCGGCAGGCCUAACACAUGCAAGUCGAACGCGUCGCGGACGGGUGAGUAAUGUCUGUGAAACUUCCCGAUGGAGGGGGAUAACUACUGGAAACGGUAGCUAAUACCGCAUACCAUCGGAUGUGCCCAGAUGGGAUUAGCUAGUAGGUGGGGUAAUGGCUCACCUAGGCGACUAUCCCUAGCUGGUCUGAGAGGAUGACCAGCCACACUGGAACGGAGACACGGUCCAGACUCCUACGGGAGGAAGCAGUGGGGAAUAUUGCACAAUGGGCGCAAGCCUGAUGCAGCCAUGCCGCGUGUAUGAAGAAGGCCUUCGGGUUGUAAAGUACUUUAAGCGGGGAGGCGUUACCCACAGAAGAAGCACCGGCUAACUCCGAGCCAGCAGCCGCGGUAAUAC
RNAcentral lists this ribosomal RNA (406 nucleotides) under uncultured bacterium. RNAcentral describes it as "partial 16S ribosomal RNA". It matches the Rfam family "Bacterial small subunit ribosomal RNA", at positions 30 to 526 of the family's 1533-position model. The record is from RNAcentral.